GACGAACGCUGGCGGCGUGCUUAACACAUGCAAGUCGAACGGUGAAGCGCCUUCCUUUUUGGUGGGUGUGGAUGAGUGGCGAACGGGUGAGUAACACGUGAGUAACCUGCCCCCUUCUUCUGGAUAACCGCAUGAAAGUGUGGCUAAUACGGGAUAUUCUGGGUCUGUCGCAUGAUGGGUCUGGGAAAGAUAUUGUUUCGGUGGGGGAUGGGCUCGCGGCCUAUCAGCUUGUUGGUGGGGUGAUGGCCUACCAAGGCGGUGACGGGUAGCCGGCCUGAGAGGGUGGACGGCCACACUGGGGCUGAGACACGGACCAGACUCCUACGGGAGGCAGCAGUGGGGAAUAUUGCACAAUGGGCGCAAGGCUGAUGCAGCGACGCCGCGUGAGGGAUGGAGGCCGUCGGGUUGUGAACCUCUUUCGCCAGUGAAGCAGGCCUGCCUCGUUUGUGGGUGGGUUGACGGUAGCUGGAUAAGAAGCGCCGGCUAACUACGUG
Molecule: ribosomal RNA, 494 nt
Filed under: uncultured bacterium
Lineage: Bacteria
Description: partial 16S ribosomal RNA
Rfam family: Bacterial small subunit ribosomal RNA
Source: RNAcentral